AUUGAACGCUGGCGGAAUGCUUUACACAUGCAAGUCGAACGGUAGAGGGGCAACCCUUGAGAGUGGCGAACGGGUGAGUAAUGUAUCGGAACAUGCCCAGUCGUGGGGGAUAACGUAGCGAAAGUUACGCUAAUACCGCAUACGAUCUAUGGACGAAAGCGGGGGAUCGCAAGAGCUCGCGCUAUUGGAGUGGCCGAUAGCAGAGUACGUAGUUGGUGGGGUAAAGGUCUACCCAGCCGACGAUCUGUAGCUGGCCUGAGAGGACGACCAUCCACACUGGACUUAGACACGGCCCAGAGUCCUACGGGAGGCAGCAGUGGGGAAUUUUGGACAAUGGGCGCAAGCCUGAUCCAGCCAUGCCGCGUGCAGGAAGAAGGCCUUCUGGUUGUAAACUGCUUUUGUACGGAACGAAACGCGCUGAGUUAAUGCCUCGGCGUAAUGACGGUACCGUAAGAAUAAGCACCGGCUAACUACGUGCCAGCCGCCGCGGUAA
This 493-nucleotide ribosomal RNA is filed under the name uncultured bacterium. RNAcentral's name for it is "partial 16S ribosomal RNA". It matches the Rfam family "Bacterial small subunit ribosomal RNA", at positions 30 to 523 of the family's 1533-position model. The record is from RNAcentral.